CACUGCCUGUGGCACUGGCUGGAACCUGAUCUGGAAAAGGAUUCCGGAGAUUUGCCUAAUCUGGGAGCUGUACUUACGUUUGCUGUUUCUUGGAGGCAGUUUGCUGCUGCCAGUUCUGGUGGAGCCGUUCCCUGUCUUCCCACUGGCCUUGCACUCACAGUGUCCAUUAUCUGUCUGCAAUGGGUUUCCCACUUCAUCUAUAAUCAGAAGUUAAAAAGAGAAGAUACUUCUUUAGCCCCUUGAUGGCAGAUUUUCAAAGGAAGAAUAUUUACUAGUGCCUACUACAUGACAAGACUUACAAAUAAAUCUUAUUUAAUUGUAUAAAACAGUGACUGGUCUGUAGUUGUUGGCUCAAAAAAUAUUUGCUGAGUGAAGAAAGCAUGAAUCAUUUUAUGGGUGAAGAGAGUGGGACUAGAGAGGUUAGGAACCUGCUCAAGGACAUGAGCCAGUAAAUGGCAGAGUGAGAUUUUAGCUAUCUGGUUACUCACCAUGCUAGCUCCCGUAGUAAGUGGUCAAACCCCUUAAAGAGUACACCAAGACUGGCACCUUUAGGUAUCAUUACUUACAAUAUAUAAAUUAUCACAUCUGUCCACCCCCCUCUGACCUUGGAUGAAGUUGAUAAACAUCUCAAGAUCUCGGAUCUGAGUUUUCAGCUGCUCAACCAACUGUUCUUUCACUCGGGCUGGAUUUACAAUCUGAGCCACAGCUGCAUCGACACGUUGCCGAAGCUCUUCAGUAGACAGUGAACUGAUGUCCUCAUUCAGAUUCAUGUCCAGUUUCUUUAUUAAUUCAUCUAUGAUCACCUAUCAAGACCACAAGCAAUGAGCACACCCUUUGGAAUUUUCAGGGAGAAGGUUAGGAAGAAAGAAAAUCUUUACUGGCAUACCUCCUACCCUUAAAUAGAAAUCAAAGACACAAAGAACUAUCAAAUUCAUGAGAGAAAUGAUGUAAUUGCUUAUUAGGUAAGGAUAGACCUUUUUUCUCUGGGAGUAACAAGAACCUUUGGUUCCUGUCCGACAGAAAUGGCUCUUCUAACUACAAAUGUUCUACCGGACUAGGCAACUUUCACUCAGGUGACUAACAGCAUGAAUAAUCCAAAGUGGCCGAUGAUCCAAAAAUCUUCAUACUUAGCUUCCCCCAAGGUCUCCAAGAGAAUAAAUACUGGUUUCUCUUAGUUUCUAGUCCUUCUCAUCCCUUCUUGUUCUACUCUAAGUAACUAAAGAAAAAUCUUUACAAAACAUGAAGGUAUAUUAUAGCCAAAAUAUCCUACUAACAAUAUUAGGAACAAUGAAAUCUUGGUAAUGCAACUGCAGCCCAGGCAGAGAAAUAGCCACGUCAAAAGGAGAGACAAACAUGUAGGGGAGGCUGUAGCUGUAUUUCUACUAGCUGAUUUACCUGUCUACCCAAAAGUUGUUUAAAUAAAUACAGCAUUAAAGUCA
Molecule: long non-coding RNA, 1439 nt
Organism: Myotis lucifugus (little brown bat)
Lineage: Eukaryota; Metazoa; Chordata; Mammalia; Chiroptera; Vespertilionidae
Exons: 2
Source: RefSeq, a predicted model, not a curated record